GAAGUUUUAAGUGAAAUAUUAAAUACGUUUAAAAUUUUGCCAAAUUUCGCCGACCAUUAAUUAUUCUGAAAAUCUUAACGUUAAUAUUGUCUCUCUUUCAACCUUACGUUACAACAUGACACAUUUAUCAACAAAUUGACGUUUUCUGCCACGUUGAUGUUUCAUCCCAUUUUUAGACGGUUGAAAAGACAUUGAAAUGAGGUCUUAGACGUCCAGACCUCAUUUCAACCCGAUUUCAACCAUAUUUCAACGUUGAAAUUACGUCUUGUGCUCACUGGGCUGUGUCUCAAGUGUGCCUUGACGCAAAAAAGGUUUAAAAACACUGCAUAGAGAAAUAGAGAAUAUAAAUAUAAAUAUAAAUAUAAAUAUUUCUAAUAGAAAUAUUAGAAAAAAUAUGAUCCCAAAUUUUAAAGUUAUGGAGGAGCUUUAAACGUAGACACUGUUUAAGCAUGAUUAUGCCUCGGGUUAAUUCUUUGUCGGAAGUCUGAGCUUUUCCAACAAGCUUACUCGUUGAGGAUCUAUAGAUUGAUUGCAUAAUCUCUUUUCAUCUUCUCCUCCUCUCUCUCUGCUUUCAUCCUUCGCUCUUCUCUCCUUCAUUCCUCUGAUGUGCUCGUGUCCUCUGCCGUCCUUACAUUCUUCUGCAGGGGUCUCUACUCUGCUUUUUUGCCCCCCGCCCCCUUCUCCUUCUCCUUUUACUGCCACCCCGACCAUAUCCCCCACACACACACAUUCCUCUCAGGGUUGGCUACUUUCCCUUAGUCAUCAGUAAGAGGUGAAAUCUAACCUCACCCGUCUUCCACUGGCUCCUUGACAGAAGAAAAAAAAAUGCUUAACAAAAAAAUGAGAGGAAGUAAGCAAUGAAUAAUCCAAACUCAUGUUUGCCAGCAAAGCAGUACAGUCGGGGUGUGUGUGUGUGUGUGUGUGUUAUGGCCUGCCUAUCAUGCCCUAGGGGUGCACAGGCGUAACACAAAAAUGUUGGCGCAAAGUUUCAACAAAAGUAAAUAAAAUGUAUUUGUAACACUUUAUUCAUCACAAAAAGGCAACUCAAAAGGAAGCAAACACAUCAGGAUCUCAAAGGCCAAAACAAUAAACAAAACCACCCCCCUGGCAAGAAAUCAAAGGUGUUCUGACCUACCGUGGGAAAAGGAAAGUCAAUACAGACCUCCCUCUCUAUCCACAAAACAGGAGAAAAAGCAGUGAGAUGGCAGAGAAGCCUUACACACUCCCCCCACACAACGGUGGUCGGUACACAGACUCGUACCGACACAAGCAGUCUGCUAAUUGUCACACAAAGGGAAAAGAGAGACCCCUCACCACUGGGUCCGGGAGCCUUUAUGUGGCCCACUAAUGGCCUGAUGUCUCUCAGGUGGUAUUGCUCCAGGUGAAAUCACCUGAGAGAAUUGCCCCCGCCCUCUCCUCAGGAGGGGGCAGAGUCACAUCAGGGGGGUAUUCCAGAAAGCGGGUUAUGUGAAAACUCAGAGUAAGUUAACCCUGAGAUCAGGGAAACUCUUGAGUUAUCCGUUCCAGAUAGAGAGGUAACUGAAACUCUGAGUCAAUCACCAUGGUAACAGACUGUGAACAUAACCUGCUCGCUGGCAGGUUUAGUAUAAGAAACCCGGAGUUCAUACCGUCUCCUCCCACAUGAAGAAAGCUGGUAGACAUGGAUUGUACAUUCCUACCGAAUCCAAUUGACAUCGAAGCCUUAGUGAUUCGAAAUGCUUUACAUCGCGAGAGAGUCUUCCGACUCAGAUUGGACGUUUUAUCAUUUCCAGAGGACUUUCUGUUAGAACGCUACCGCUUUACUAGUAACUAGGAAACAUAUGGACGACAUUUAAUUUCUACAGUUCCACAUACAGAUUUAACAUGGUAUUGACCGAAAAUCUCACUGUUUCAAGCUGUGCUGUGGGUCGGUGAUGCCCAACCAUGUUCUGUUCAAGGACAAGAAUGUGCUAGUUAUGUUAUCCAUUAGCCAUUAUCUAUGCUCAUCACUUCAGUCUACUUGUCAAACUCCAAAUUCCACUCUAGAAUGUGAAUGGGCAGAGCACUGGCAGUAGAUAAUAUUAAGACAGACUUCAGUAGGCCUCCCUGGAUCUCUCCCUGUGGCAGCAGACAGCGUUUCCUCCUCAUCGUCAUCAUGCUCCUGUGGUGCAGGAAAAGAUACUGUUUCUGCAUACUUUUAACUACCAUCUGAGGCAGGACCUGAGUAUCUGCAGGAUUUACAGCUGUGCAGAUGACACCAUCCACAACUGUUGGGUGGGUGGAUAUAUAUAAUUUAAAAAGCAGGCUAUAUAUAUAUACACACACUACCGUUCAAAGGUUUGGGGUCACUUAGAAAUUACCUUAUUUUUCAAAGAAAAGCUUAUUUUUUUCAAUGAAGAUAUCCAUCCAUCCAUC
Long non-coding RNA from Gasterosteus aculeatus aculeatus (three-spined stickleback), 2394 nucleotides. The record is from Ensembl. NCBI's taxonomy places the organism in Eukaryota, Metazoa, Chordata, Actinopteri, Perciformes, Gasterosteidae.